UCUCUAAUCUUUGACCAGCAACUCAGAUAAGUGAAGAUAAAUAGCACCGGUUUUGUAAUUUAUUUUUAUUUGUUUAUUUCUUAAGUAGUCUCCACAUUCAGCGUGGAGCCCAGUGCAGGGCUUGAAUUCACAACCCUGAGUUCAUGACCUGAGCUGACAUCAAGAGUCAAAUGCUCAACCGAGCCACCUAGGUGCCCCAUACUAAUUUAACCCAUAUACAAUACAUCCCAUUCUUUUCUUGAGCACCUGAAAAAGUAUCUGCUAACUUUUUUUAAAACCAGUGUCAAUGGGGAUCCUUGGGUGGCUCAGUGGUUUAGCGCCUGCCUUCAGCCCGCGGUGUAAUCAUGGUGUCCUGGGAUCGAGUCCCACAUCAGGCUCCCUGUGUGGAGCCUGCUUCUCCCUCUGCUUCUCCCUCUGCUUCUCCCUCUGCCUCUCUCUCUCUCUCUCUGUCUUUCAUGAACAAAUAAAAUCUUUAAAAAUAAAAAUAAAUAAAAAAUUAUAUAUAUAUAUAUAAAACCAGUGUCAGAGGGAGGCCUGGGUGGCUCAAUGGUUGAGUGUCUCCCUUUGGCUGAUGUCAUGAUCCCAGGGAUCCUGGGAUUAGGUCCUGUAUCAGGUGCCCUACAGGGAGCCUGCUUCUCCCUCUGCCUCUCUUUCUGUGUCUCUCAUGAAUAAAUAAAUAAAAUCUUUAAAUAAAUAAACAAGUGUCAGAAACCCCUUUCCUUAGUGUCCGUGAACAUGAGUUAGCUAAGGGCUGGGCAAGGUAUGGUAAAGGACUACAGAGGAGACCUAUCUGAUCCAACUCUGCUCUUAAGUGUCCCUUCAGUGUGUAGUUUAUUACAUCCCUCCUUGAGUUGAGCCAAGACUCCAGGAACAGAGCAGAGAGGCUGCACAUGGGUGCACAGUAGGUGCAUUUGAAGGAGUGAUUAGUUCUCCCCCGCCCUAUACUCCACUCCUACAGGGUUCAUCCUUCCCUGAGCAUUUUUCAAAUUUUUUUAUGAAAAAUUUCAAAGGGGGAUUCCUGGGUGGCUCAGCGGUUUAGCACCUGCCUUCCACCCAGAGCAUGAUCCUGGAGACCUAGGAUCAAGUCCCACAUCAGGCUCCCUGCAUGGAGCCUGCUUCUCCCUCUGCCUGUGUCUCAGCCUCUCUCUCUCUCUCUCUCUCUCUCUCUCUCUCUCUCUCCCUCUCUGCCUCUCAUGAAUAAAUAAAUAAAAUCUUUAAAAAAAAAAUUUCAAAGGUACAAAAAGUUGCAAGGAUUCUACAGGGAAAACCCAUAUACCCACCACCUACAUUUUACAGCUGUUAGAUUUUCCCCUGACUUCUUUUAAAAGUUUGUUUAAAUAAUGGUUUCUGAGACAGCAGAACUAGUCAGUUAUACUGGGAAGUUACAAGGUAUCGGUGGUGCUUGGUGUUUUAGAAAGAU
RNAcentral lists this long non-coding RNA (1420 nucleotides) under Canis lupus familiaris (dog). RNAcentral describes it as "lncRNA (ENSCAFG00000052992.1)". The record is from RNAcentral. Lineage: Eukaryota; Metazoa; Chordata; Mammalia; Carnivora; Canidae.